RNAcentral lists this ribosomal RNA (522 nucleotides) under Therevidae sp. Taenogenerella 1. Its description in RNAcentral is "partial 16S ribosomal RNA". It matches the Rfam family "Bacterial large subunit ribosomal RNA", at positions 1809 to 2603 of the family's 2925-position model. Lineage: Eukaryota; Metazoa; Arthropoda; Insecta; Diptera; Therevidae. The record is from RNAcentral.
AAAAACAUGUCCUUUAGAGNUUUAAUUUAAGGUCUAGCCUGCCCACUGAUUUAAAUGGCCGCAGUAUUUUAACUGUGCAAAGGUAGCAUAAUCAUUAGUCUUUUAAUUGAAGGCUUGUAUGAAUGGUUGGACGAAAUAUUAACUGUUUCAUAAAAAUUUAUUUAGAAUUUUAUUUUUUAGUUAAAAAGCUAAAAUUUUUUUAAAAGACGAGAAGACCCUAUAGAUCUUUAUAAUUUAUUUAUUAUAGUUAUAUAGAUUAUUUAGAUUAUGAUUGUAUAAAUUAUUUUGUUGGGGUGACAUUAAAAUUUGAUUAACUUUUAAUAAGUUUUUACAUUAAUUUAUGANNUUGAUUGAUCCAUUAUUAAUGAUUAUAAAAUUAAGUUACCUUAGGGAUAACAGCGUAAUUUUUUUGAAGAGUUCAUAUCGAUAAAAAAGAUUGCGACCUCGAUGUUGGAUUAAGAUAUAAUUUUGGGUGCAGCAAUUCAGUAAUUAAGUCUGUUCGACUUUUAAUUUCUUACAUGA